GAUGAACGCUAGCGGCAGGCUUAAUACAUGCAAGUCGUGGGGCAGCAGGUUUGUAGCAAUACAAAUGCUGGCGACCGGCAAACGGGUGCGUAACACGUACGCAACUUACCCAUUACAGGGGAAUAGCCCAGGGAAACUUGGAUUAAUACCCCAUAUUAUAUAGGACUGGCAUCAGUCUUAUAUCAAAGCUUCGGCGGUAAUGGAUGGGCGUGCGGUUGAUGAGAUAGUUGGCGGGGUAACGGCCCACCAAGUCUACGAUCAAUAGCUGAUGUGAGAGCAUGAUCAGCCACACGGGCACUGAGGCACGGGCCCGACUCCUACGGGAGGCAGCAGUAAGGAAUAUUGGGCAAUGGACGAAAGUCUGACCCAGCCAUGCCGCGUGAAGGAUGAAGGUCCUCUGGAUUGUAAACUUCUUUUAUCUGGGGCGAAAAUCACCCUUUCUAGGGUGCUUGACAGUACCAGAGGAGUAAGCACCGGCUAACUCCGUGCCAGCCGCCGCGGUAAGAC
This 507-nucleotide ribosomal RNA is filed under the name uncultured bacterium. RNAcentral's name for it is "bacterial SSU rRNA". It matches the Rfam family "Bacterial small subunit ribosomal RNA", at positions 28 to 526 of the family's 1533-position model. The record is from RNAcentral.